UGGUUUUUUAAGACAUUGCAUUUAGAUCUUUACCACAAUAUUAUUAUUGCUUUAGAGUUUCACUUUACUUUAGCUUUCCGACAACCAAUACUGAUAACCGAUUAAUGAGAAAUAAUUCGUCAAGUUCUUGCCAAUGUAGUUCAAAGUGUCAUAUUACCUUGUUGCAGAUAGUGCAUUGCAUAUUCUACAUUGAUUAUUGAUCUUACUGUUACUUGAAAGCGUGUACAAUUUAAGAUUUUAGGUAUCAAGAAUCUUACCGAUGGAAUGAAUAACUUGAAUGCUUAAGCAGUACCAGCUUUCUUGGUCUAACCGCUCCUCACCAGCUCUCUUGAUCGCUCUGCAUCUUGUCGAUUCUGGUUGUUGGGGAUUUGAUGAUUCAUAGAAGUAAAAGUCUCCAUCAAGCUCUCAAUCUGUCGAAGGUCUACAGUGAAUUCCAUACCAAAAUCCCGGUUGUUGGCCAACCAAUUCUCUACUAAAAUGUUGCCGAAAACAGUAAUAGUUGCUCAUAUUGAAAAUUUCUGCUUUAAAGUUGGAACAUCUUUAAGUUUAUACGCUUAUCAGAAGAAAAUUCUAUAAGAAUCAACAUGUACCAAAUGACAACACAAGGAAUAGGGACGGCAAUUUAACCCGAAUUUGAUGGGUUUCGAUGUGAUCAGAUUUUUUUUUUAAAUUCGGAUUUGAGUCGGGUCGGAUUGGAUUUUUUA
Long non-coding RNA from Hibiscus syriacus, 704 nucleotides. RefSeq lists it as uncharacterized. The transcript has 3 exons. The record is from RefSeq and is a predicted model, not a curated record. Lineage: Eukaryota; Viridiplantae; Streptophyta; Magnoliopsida; Malvales; Malvaceae.